This is a long non-coding RNA of Girardinichthys multiradiatus, 525 nucleotides long. RefSeq lists it as uncharacterized. Lineage: Eukaryota; Metazoa; Chordata; Actinopteri; Cyprinodontiformes; Goodeidae. The record is from RefSeq and is a predicted model, not a curated record. The transcript has 4 exons.
GGUGGGUCAUGCAUAACAACAUUGCGUGUCAUGUUCUCCUGUGGACAUUACGUCUGCGUCCGGAUCCCACCCAAAUACUACAGAGAUAAGAGAUCUGAGGAAAUCAAAACAUGAACAGAUCUCUCUCUUCUGUCUGUCAGCUUUACCAGAAGGACGACAGAUAAGACCAUUUCCAGAUGGUGCUGGAGUUUCUCAGGUGUGCUGGAUGACAGAAGUUUCUGGACGAUCAAGAUGACCUACGUUUGGAUUUCGUUUCCAAGUACCAAGCUGGCAGCUUCCUGUUGUCCUUUGUCUCCUGAACCAAGGCAAAAGCGUACCCUGUCCACCCUCCAACGCAAGUACCUGAACAUUGAACUAACUCCUGAACUCACCAGAACUCACUCUGCAGCUCAAGUAAACCAUUUGGAUUUUCUCUGCUUCGCACACCUGUGUCCUGACACCCUCUACCCCUGGUGACCUGACUGCACUCAUGUAAGUUGGCGAUUCAUCCAUUCAUGUUCCAGACUCACGUAUUGUAAAUAAAAC